CUGCGCUGAUGACCAUCUUAGGACACCUUUGGAUUAAAGAUGAAACAAAUCCGUAUGAUCUGAGCAGC
Nothobranchius furzeri (turquoise killifish) is the source of this 68-nucleotide small nucleolar RNA. Its record names the gene SNORD58. It matches the Rfam family "Small nucleolar RNA SNORD58". Rfam says of the family: snoRNA U58 is found in introns 1, 3 and 6 of the ribosomal protein RPL17 gene in humans. The record is from Ensembl. Lineage: Eukaryota; Metazoa; Chordata; Actinopteri; Cyprinodontiformes; Nothobranchiidae.